AAAGGAAUAGACGGGGGCCCGCACAAGCGGUGGAGUAUGUGGUUCAAUUCGACGCAACGCGAAGAACCUUACCAGGGCUUAAACUGCAGGGUAAACCUCCUGAAAGGGGGGGUGCUUCGGCGAUCCUGUAGAGGUGCUGCAUGGCUGUCGUCAGCUCGUGUCGUGAGAUGUUGGGUUAAGUCCCGCAACGAGCGCAACCCUUGUCCUUAGUUACCAGCGGGUCAAGCCGGGGACUCUAAGGAUACUGCCGUCGCAAGGCGGAGGAAGGUGGGGAUGACGUCAAGUCCUCAUGGCCCUUAUGUCCUGGGCUACACACGUACUACAAUGGCCGGUACAACGAGCUGCCAGCCCGCGAGGGUGAGCUAAUCUCCUGAAAGCCGGCCCCAGUUCAGAUUGCAGUCUGCAACUCGACUGCAUGAAGGCGGAAUCGCUAGUAAUCGCGGAUCAGCACGCCGCGGUGAAUACGUUCCCGGGCCUUGUACACACCGCCCGU
This 493-nucleotide ribosomal RNA is filed under the name uncultured bacterium. RNAcentral's name for it is "bacterial SSU rRNA". It matches the Rfam family "Bacterial small subunit ribosomal RNA", at positions 903 to 1397 of the family's 1533-position model. The record is from RNAcentral.